CGCGUAGGCGGGAUGGCAAGUCGGUCGUGAAAUCCCUGGGCUCAACUCAGGGGGGGUCGGCCGAUACUGCCGUUCUUGAGGGAUGCAGAGGAGACUGGAAUUCCCGGUGUAGCGGUGAAAUGUGUAGAGAUCGGGAGGAACACCGGUGGCGAAGGCGGGUCUCUGGGCAUUCCCUGACGCUGAGGCGCGAAAGCGUGGGGAGCAAACG
RNAcentral lists this ribosomal RNA (208 nucleotides) under uncultured bacterium. RNAcentral describes it as "partial 16S ribosomal RNA". It matches the Rfam family "Bacterial small subunit ribosomal RNA", at positions 568 to 774 of the family's 1533-position model. The record is from RNAcentral.